GAUGAACGCUGGCGGCGUGCCUAAUACAUGCAAGUCGAGCGAACGGACGAGAAGCUUGCUUCUCUGAUGUUAGCGGCUGACGGGUGAGUAACACGUGGAUAACCUACCUAUAAGACUUGGAUAACUUCGGGAAACCGUAGCUAAUACCGGAUAAUAUUUUGAACCGCAUGGUUCAAAAGUGAAAGACGGUCUUGCUGUCACUUAUAGAUGGAUCCGCGCUGCAUUAGCUAGUUGGUAAGGUAACGGCUUACCAAGGCAACGAUGCAUAGCCGACCUGAGAGGGUGAUCGGCCACACUGGAACUGAGACACGGUCCAGACUCCUACGGGAGGCAGCAGUAGGGAAUCUUCCGCAAUGGGCGAAAGCCUGACGGAGCAACGCCGCGUGAGUGAUGAAGGUCUUCGGAUCGUAAAACUCUGUUAUUAGGGAAGAACAUAUGUGGAAGUAACUGUGCACAUCUUGACGGUACCUAAUCAGAAAGCCGCGGCUAACUACGUG
Molecule: ribosomal RNA, 497 nt
Filed under: uncultured bacterium
Lineage: Bacteria
Description: partial 16S ribosomal RNA
Rfam family: Bacterial small subunit ribosomal RNA
Source: RNAcentral